GCGUCUUAGCCGUUCAUGGCUCUGUGUUGAUUAUGUUUGAUUAUAUUUGUUAUACUGUAUUCGACAUUUAUGUGCUAAAUAUGGAUAUUAUAGACAUAACCACAACUAAACACCAUUUGUAUAUGCCGUGGAAUUAUAGGAUGGGUUGUUGUUUUUAUAUUUUCGUGUGAUCAAAUAGAUACUAGGCCUACUAAAUGGCUGAACUUUUCACCUGCAAAUGAUACAUUGUAUACUAAAAUACAGAAUGGAUUCUUUGUAAUUUGGAAGAUAGAAUGGUUUAUAGUGAUAGCAGGUAGUCCCGUAUUUAUAAAAGGAAUGGCUGGUAAUUUUUGUCAAUUGAAAAACUGUCAUUCAAAAUGGUUGAGAAGCGUGUAAACUGUAAAGUGUAGUAGGGCAGUGAAGAACAGACAAGUGUGAUCAAUGGACAUGCAGGACUUGUGAUACAAAAUUGUCUAGAAAAAGCUAUGUACAGGCAGUAAGAGUGGGAAAAUCUAUCGAUAUUUUAUGCUUGUUAUGCUGAGUAGCUGACACAUCCAGUGAUCCACGCACCACUAUUCCUACACCACUAUCAAGUUCUGAUAAUAUUUUGCCGGAUUUGCCAACACCAGAAAAGGCUACGACUGACCCAUCUUACAGACCCUUCCUCUCCAUCAAAGCGUAGGAAAACUGUGCACAGACGUGUUGUCUCAAGGCACCAAGAGAUGUCACAGAGACCACAGAAAAAUGGGUGGCAAUGUUGAGAUCACAGAGAAUUGAUGGAUUGAAGAUGUUAAUAUCACAGCUGGAUGAUAAAAAAAAGAAUGGAAUUGCUGGUUGUCAUAAUAGAAAGACAACCAGGCUUGAAAUUUGCGACAGUUUGACUAUUGCAGCUAGAGACACACCAGUCACGUCUCGACCACCACCGACAAAAAAUUAUGCUAUAGCUAUAAACGUUUGCCUCAAAAUUGCUUAUCUCUAAGACCGGAAAUUGAUCAGUAUUGAGGGCGUUUAGAUCGCAUUACAAACAAGAGAUGACAUUUUGUUAUGGUGCCAGAUGAUGAUGAACAGAAAAGGUUUCGCCUUGCUGUCUACCGUCAGUUUUGGAGGCACAGUCGACUUGGAAGAGAUAAUCAGACAAGUAAUAUCAAACUGUAUAGUCUGCAAAGUAAAGAGGAGGUAUCCUGACAAAUGGGCAUAACCAUGAAUGAAGGAGCACUGUUCAAAAGAUCUACCCAAAUUAUCAAACAAAACAUUUUUUCUAUUAGUUAAAGAUACAUUAUGGUGGAUUAGAUAAA
This is a long non-coding RNA of Patella vulgata (common limpet), 1274 nucleotides long. RefSeq lists it as uncharacterized. The transcript has 4 exons. The record is from RefSeq and is a predicted model, not a curated record. NCBI's taxonomy places the organism in Eukaryota, Metazoa, Mollusca, Gastropoda, Patellidae.